AUCGAAGUAAUUUAAAAAAAAUAUUAAUUUGUGGCAUUAAAAUUAUCAGUUAAAAUCUGAUCUACGAUC
RNAcentral lists this transfer RNA (69 nucleotides) under Ophidiaster granifer. Its description in RNAcentral is "tRNA-His". It matches the Rfam family "tRNA". Rfam says of the family: Transfer RNA (tRNA) molecules are approximately 80 nucleotides in length. Their secondary structure includes four short double-helical elements and three loops (D, anti-codon, and T loops). The record is from RNAcentral. Lineage: Eukaryota; Metazoa; Echinodermata; Asteroidea; Valvatida; Ophidiasteridae.